ACCCUGGCGCUAGGCCUAAGCAUGACGAUUUGGUUUUCAUGCUAUUGUAUAUGUGCCUGCCUCAAAACUUGUUACCAUAUUAUCACAUCACCCAUCUGAUG
Molecule: non-coding RNA, 101 nt
Organism: Saimiri boliviensis boliviensis (Bolivian squirrel monkey)
Lineage: Eukaryota; Metazoa; Chordata; Mammalia; Primates; Cebidae
Source: RefSeq, a predicted model, not a curated record